UGGGGAAUAUUGCACAAUGGGCGGAAGCCUGAUGCAGCGACGCCGCGUGAGGGAUGACGGCCUUCGGGUUGUAAACCUCUUUCAGUAGGGACGAAGCGUAAGUGACGGUACCUGCAGAAGAAGCACCGGCUAACUACGUGCCAGCAGCCGCGGUAAUACGUAGGUGGCAAGCGUUGUCCGGAAUUAUUGGGCGUAAAGCGCGCGCAGGUGGUUUAGAAAGUCUGAUGUGAAAGCCCACGGCUCAACCGUGGAGGGUCAUUGGAAACUAAUAAACUUGAGUGCAGGAGAGAAAAGUGGAAUUCCUAGUGUAGCGGUGAAAUGCGUAGAGAUUAGGAGGAACACCGGUGGCGAAAGCGGCUUUUUGGCCUGCAACUGACACUGAGGCGCGAAAGCGUGGGGAGCAAACAGG
RNAcentral lists this ribosomal RNA (409 nucleotides) under Verrucomicrobiota bacterium. RNAcentral's name for it is "Verrucomicrobia bacterium partial 16S ribosomal RNA". It matches the Rfam family "Bacterial small subunit ribosomal RNA", at positions 355 to 776 of the family's 1533-position model. Lineage: Bacteria; Pseudomonadati; Verrucomicrobiota. The record is from RNAcentral.